GGACACAUUCCCUUUCUUCAUUUGCAGCUUCCUUGUGGGGAUUGCUGGAUUCAGCAGGUUCAUAUGAAAGACACUUCUUUGCUUUAACGGAUUCCCCGCAUGAGGCACCAGCUGUAGUAGAAUUAAGGCGCACUGUAGUCGAAUCUGUUAAAAUAAGAUGGCCAGCUAAGCUGAUGACUAAGGUUUGCAUAAUUAACUGAGCCUGGUACUAGAUGACUGAUUGACUUACAUUGAAUAAUUGGCUCCAUGAAAGUAUCCGGCAGAGAACGAAAUAUUGGGUCCCUCCAAAUCUGAUGGCGAGUGUGAGGAGCCUUCCUUCUUUUGCAGACUAGAUCCUCUAAACCAACACCAUCUACCAUUUCUCUCAUCGUGCUGUAGGGGGGAUGUUCCAAAAACAGUAACAAUGUUAUAGUAUGAAUGGACCAUGUAUAUCGAAAUUCAAUGCUCCAUCAACAUACUGCAGAAUCACCUUAAAGAAAGCAUGUGAAUGUGGCAAUAAUAUAAUUUGCAUGGACCAUGCAUAUCCUAUUUAAAGUUCCAUUUUACAGCUAAGGAAUCACCUUAAAGAAGCAUGUCAAUGCAAAUCAGGCCCUCCCAAUUCUCAAACAAAAAGAGGAAACACCUUAAAGAAACAUGUCAAUGCAGAUCAGACCACUCCCAGUUCUCAAGCUAAAAUAAAACGGUUUGCAACAUAUGGAAGAGCUUGUGCAAGCUAGUUAUUUUACCAACACAUUUGCACCAUACAAACUUCUUAAGCCAAUAGAGAAGUUCAAACUGGCUGCUAGGAUGCAUACAAGCACACAGGAAUAGGCAGUGGAACAGAUGAAAGGGCUUGUACAAGUAAGUUACUGUACUUACUCAUUAUCAAGGAGGACCUUAUCAUCCCACACUACCCAAACUCUUCUCUUAUUGUGCUCGUAUGCAUCCUGGAACCCCUUCCUCCUUUUUCUGGUAACCUGGCGCUUCUCAUUUUGAGCAGGUGUUGCAACCAUAAAUUUUUCUAGUAACCCUAGAUAAAAGUGAAUUGAGAUAAAUAUGUCACAAACAUGAGCAAGAUAAUAACAAUAAGUAGAAUAGGAACUUCUCACAAAAGUUAACCUGAGACUCCCUCUCGCAAGGGCUCUGGAGUCAAUGGUUCCAGUGACUCUUGUUCCUCGAUGUCAGGAAUUUCUACAGAUGUUGUUGUGUUCGGUUUUCCUACAGCUAACCCAGUUUCUGAUUGUUCGACCACAGGAUGAUUAUCAUCAAGAUCUGCACACACCACAUUCUCCACAGCAUUCACAGCAGGUCCUUGCAUUUCUUGACUUCUGCAUCAAUGCAUGCUUAAUAAUGUCAAAAUAAAAGGAUAAUUUCCAGAAUAAUCUUAAAGUAAACAAAGUUCGAUGUAACCAAAAAAAGGGAGUAGCAAUACUCACUCUCGCAAAGGGGUGGAACAAGCAGGAUCGCCAUUCUCUUCACCAUUCACUUCUCUUCUAGCUUUCUUCACCUCUUCGCUUUUCUCUGGAAGGCCACUUACUUCAGCCAUCAUAUCCAUCGCCUCAGGUGGAAGAACACUGUUUCAUAGUCUCAUUUUAGCAAACAUAAAGAGGAAAAAGUCUGCUCUUAUGAAUGAGUCGGGAGAGGGAGUGAUGGUUCAUAUACUUACUCCUUCACUGGUGUAAAGCAAGCAGGACCAGCAUUCUGAUUGGUAUUUUCAAGUUCAUCGUCCAUGUGACUUGAGUACAGAAGAUCGGUGACUUCAUCAUUGACACUGAUCAUUUCAGUUGGGAUCCUGCAUCAAAAGAUCAGCUCAGAAAUCCACUGGAAGUAAUCUUUUAACACCAUUAGGUACUGUAACCUAUGUACUUACAUGCAUACUGGCACAACGUAAGCAGAGUCCAGAUCAGCAUAUGGCAUCAUCGGAUAAGACUGUUCCAUUGGAUAGAUCUUAAGUUAUAGUUUGUCAAAACAAAUAAGGCAUGAAAACAAGAGGAAGCUGACAGUAAUGCAUGUCACCUAUUGCUAAUGCAAAGGAACAAACGUAUCUAAGGUAACACACAUGGGUGGAAUAAUUUAGAAACCACACAGACAAGACGGAUACUCCCUCCGUCCCAAAAUAAGUGUCUCAACCUUAAUACAACUUUAGUAGUACAAAGUUGAGACACUUAUUUUGGGAUGGAGGGAGUAUUUAACAGUUAACACCUUAAUCAGAAAAUUCAUGAAACUACUGACACAGGACCAUGGGUGGAAUACAUGGAACCUGAUAAGGCAACACGUGGAACACACAUGGGUGGAAUAAUUUACAAACCUACUGUGGUAGAACAGGAUCAAUCAGUGGAAGGUAGAGGUCCCUUAAACUGCUGCCUUAUACAUGCAAGCUUAGUAAUUCUGUGUACCUAGGAAGUAUCGCAUUUAUAGAUCACAUUAGGUGGUAGGCGCUUGCAGUAGGUGCCAAGUGUGACUUAUCUGGAUUACAUAGCAUAUUUUUGGCAAGCUCCCCCAUUUCUUUGUUUCAGAUGUUAUAAGAAGCAUUUCACUCUAUGCGCAUACAUGUGUUGAUUACUCAGUGAAUGGUAGGAAGGAAGCUGGGUACCUCGUACAAAUUUGGCAUAUGAUGAUGUUCAUCUUCCAACAAAGUUUCUGUGCAAAACAAUGAAGGUCAUAAAUGAAACGAUUUCUUAGCAAUAAUAGUGGCAUCAAAUUGCAGCAUUUGGUACCUUGACGUGGCAAUUGGUGAUGAUCAUCAUUGUCAUCCUCUCUGCAGAGGAAUUUAGAAGGAACAAGUGAGACACCACAUUUCAAGCGACAAAGAAAUGGAACUAGUUUACGACCAUGUGUGUUCAUUACCUGUCUUCAGCGAUCUGCAAAUCAAAACAGUCAAGCUCGAAUCUUUUGGGUAUGGUGAAGAUUGGUGGAAGAUCAGCUAGUUCAUCCACUUCUGGGACUUGAACUACCGCAACUCUUUUCGCUCUUCUAGUGUCUUCUUGGUCUAGCACCAACCUUUUUGCACAAACGCCUUUCUUCCCUCGCUUUAGAACUUUCUUCGCUCUUACAGUUGAUUCAAAAAAUUGAUUGCUGUCAUAGCAGAGGUAGUCCACCUUCUUGGAGUGAAUCCUAACAAUGCCAAGCAUAAGCAGCCCAAGUAUUCUGUAUGUGGUUUCAACAUCGGGCAAAAUCUUGUCUGCCAUGAUAGGAGGAGACGUGUGAGCAAGUCGCCGCAAUACUAUCAGGAAAAAUACCUGGAGGGCUAUGUCUACCAAUAGAGAGACGCAAUAUUCAACGAUAUCCAAACAGUUCCCCAGUGAAUUCAAUAUCAUUAUGUAGUUUUUGUCGACAGUGAAGUUGGUUCACAUGGUACAUUCAGUUGGUACCCGAACCUGAAACUCAGCUCAGGUUUACGCUUGGAUAACGUCGAUAAAAAAAUAAAACCAUAUGUGAAAAGCUCUCAGGCCAAGAGUCGUGAACCCCCAAACCGUCCACAAAGUGGCCAAAAGAAAAAACAUAAAAACUCUCCACUGGCCAAAACAGCCCACAGUUCAGAAUUCAGAUUCAAACUUUUUAUCAACAGCCUAUUAUUCAUCUUCUAAUCUUUUUAAAAAAACUGAGCCGUUCCCACGAAGGAAAUUUGAAACGAAAUUUGCAAACAGUGACGCUUGCACUGCACAAGAACAUAAAAAAAAAAGAUAAAUGCGCACAUCGAUGCUUCCUAAAAUCGACAAGAAAAAUUUGGAUCACCACUCCACCAACCACAGCAUGGUGAAGAGGAACGGAAACCACAAGGGAAACGGAGUGGUUCUCUCUUGGUCUUGUUUUUCGGGUGAAGAACCAAGGAUUCCACUCCCAUUUUUCACUGACACUCAAGAUAUAAACCCCCACAUAAACCCUCCCAAUCUACUGCUCCACUCACCCCACAAAUGAGAGACACGUACGGCCGUAUUUUCCUCUAAGUUCUUAACCAAGCCAGGAAAGAACACGAGACCGGCACAAAAGAAGAUUCUUUUCCCCCCAUAAAUUGGAGAGAUUCCCUCCUCGCCCAGGCCCCAACCGAACCCAAAAAGCCCUCAAAACCCCACGAAGAAAAGAGAGAGCUCGGUCGCAUUGCAGGAAGCGGGUUAGGGGGGGGCGGCAAAUCAGGCGCGGCAUCGCUUACCGACGGAGGAGGCGACGUCGGUGCGCAGGACCUGGUCCCUGGUGAGCGCCGCCACGCCGCAGACGCCCGCCACCCACACCGCCCCCAGCGGGCCCUUCCUGGACAGCAUCUUCUUGGAGUAGAACAUCCCGCCGGCCGCCGGGCACGAGCAGACCACCGAGGACAGGCGGGCAGGCAGGCAGCCCUAAAUCGCACUGCGAAAGCAAGCCAAACCGAAUUCCGCAAUGAGGCGAGCCGAAUCGAACCUAGAAAAGGGGGAGAAGAGCCGCGCGGCGGCGGAAUCAGAGAGCGGGUGGGGAAGGCAAGGGCAAGAACUGACCCGAAGCGGCGCCGCCAAUGCCCUCCCUCGCGGCCGCGUGCGGCGACGUGGCGGUCCUCGUGCGNGGAGGCUGACUUCGAGUGGAAGGAGGAAACCCCAGGCGCAGGGGGACUGAGACGGGGCGAAAGGACGGGAGCGCCCUUUGGCUUUGAGACGUUGGUGGGUGUGAGGAAGGAUUGGAUGGGUUCUUGCGUUUCGGUAAGUUGCCUAUUUUCUUGGCCCUUUUGAAUUUCGCGUUUAAUCAUUUGCCGUCUUGUAUCGGGGCAUGGGAAAACGGAACGGUUUAAUGCCUCGUUGAUGUUUUUCUCCAACGUUAAAGUUUUUGGAUUUUGUACUGCGGCAGAGAGCUGUAGCCGUUGUGGCCUGUGCGGUGUAAAAUAAAUGGAUUUAUGUGUGCGGUUUAUGGAAACACGGUAAUCGACGGGAUUAUAUAGGCCGUUGCGCUCCCUCAGCCAAUUUUAAUUUGUUUACGUUUAUUUAUUAGUGGAUACAAGGAAUGCUUGUUUAUAUUUUACUAAGAAAAUAUAAAAGCUUGUUGCGCCUUUAAUCAGGUUUUUUUUUACCCUCACAAAAAAAUAUAAGCAUUUUGUUAAACAUGUACAGAAACUAGCAUAGUGCCUUUGCUACAGAGGCAACAAAAAAUAACUUGCUCAUAUGUUACCAUAUGAAUAAUAGAAAGUGAACAUAAUUUUUGAAAUUCGUUUAAUUGUUUUGUACUAUUAAUCAUCAGUUGUGUGCAAUGCCAACCUAGGCUAUGACAUAAUUACUCAAUGCAAUAAUAUAGACAAAAUGAUAAUAUCAAUUGAGGCUUGUUGAGCUCAGUUCCUGAUUUCGUGUGCUUGCCUAAAUAAAUGUCCAAAUGCUCUUAUGAUGAUUCGCCAUGCUAGUUGCUCAAUGUCCGUAGGUUUCUGCUCGUUCUAACAUUGCAACACAUGCUCGAUUCUACCAGUAAUACAAGUAGUAAAUGUCACAGCUACGUAAUUGACCUCAUAAACCCGCUUCAUAUGACACAUAACUUGACUUUUUUGCAUGGAAUUUGUCGAAGUUUUUGACAUAACAUAGCGAUGCGAAACAUCUUUGGUUUAUCACGUUCACGCACCACUAUUAGAGAUUUACAAAAGAUCCAAUGUCAAUUAUUAUGGUCUACUAAUUUAGUACAAUACAAGGACUUUUUCCGCUAAUAUAUUUUUUUUCAUAGUGUUUUUUAGAAAGACGUGUGCAUAUAAUUAUUACGUACAAUCAGAUGCUACUUGAAUAACUUGAAUGUGUAAAAUGCCAAGCUAGCCACCUAAGGGAAAUCAGUGGCGUAAGCUCUAGGGCGCCGGUGGUCGUAGGUCCGAGUGGCCAGCGGUGCCCGCUCACGGCCGAUGUUCAAGAGGGCGGCUGCGACCAUGUGGAAUGGUGCACGAGCAUGGCCGGAGGCCAAGCUGCUCGCUCCACGCAGAAGCUGGGCUCCAACAGCAAGAAAUGGGCUUCCUAGCUUGAUGUUGGACGGUUUCAUUAGUUUAUUUAUCAAGGCAUUGAACAAUACGUAUGUCUAUGAACAAUGUCACUAUUAUAUUUACAGUAUCAUUUAUCAGGUGGUCCCGCAUCCAAAUAAAAUGUCACAAUUUUUUUAUACAUGUGUGAGAGUCUAGAUAGAAAUAGUAGGAACUACAUGCUGGGUUCGGAUCACAUGAAACAUAUUUUAUUUAGACUGAUGUUGUAGUAGGUCCCACGUGUAGAUGGAGGAGGGGUGAGUGACUCACCAACAACUCAAAUCUUUAAUAGUAGGAAAGAUUAUAGCACAUCCCAAAGAAAAAACAUCAAAACCAUGCAUUUAGGGUUCAUUGUGUAUUCUACCUCUAGGACAUUGUCGUCGCCGUAGCGUGAGUGCCAAAUCUAGCCAUACCUUGUAUCCACUAGUUGGGAAGUCGCCAAGGCUAAGGACCGAUAGAACUAACACACCAAAGAAGAACUACCCGUCACCAUGAAAGGACCACCAACGAGCCAGCGCAUCCGCCACCUCAUGAACAUGACCUUCAUUGGUGUCACAACGAUGGUGAAGAGGAUGUUGGUCCAACGGAGGAGAAUGUUGGUGUAAUAGUGGUGGAGCCGGGAGAAAAUAAAUAUGGCGUUGACGACACCAACACUCGGACAAACUAGAUACCAGGCCCAAGAAGAGUGACGACAAGCCAUAAUCAUGGACUCCUCACCACUCUCGUCGAGGACGUUUUUCCCAAGGUAGGAACAAAGUCCAUGGAACCCUAUUCCACGGUUGGCACGUAACUAGCAUCGGACAAGCUAGAUACACGGGCCAAGAUGAGUAGACACAAACCAUUCUCAUGGUCUGCCCGUUGCAUCGUCACAGACAUUGUCACUAAGUUGGGAAUGGAGUUUGAGAAAACCUUAUUCCACCGGCAUCAUUGUCGUCACCUUAGAGUCGACGACAAAAUGGAAAACCAAAGAGGGGGUCAGAACACAAGAAUAGUCAUGGUGGCCAAACAAAAAAAUAGAACAAAGCAACCUGAUUUCAUUAGAAAAAUGACAACAUAGUUUUCAAAACUACACUAAUCUAAAACCAAACCCAAUAUCCCAGUGCUUGGGCAAUGGAUACUUUGGUUUUUAGAACCAAAACGUAUUCUCAACUGGUUUAGAAAAAAGAGAGGUAAGAUACCUCUUUUCCAAAUACUGCCAAAAGCACGAUAUAGAAGAUACUGUGGUUUAUAAAAUGAUGUAUUACCUCUGUUCAGGUUUAAAAGUCCCCUUGCAUUUUAGGUCAAACUUUGACCUUUGAUUUAACUACCAAAAUAUUAGUUAUAUGUCACAAAAUAGUAUCAUUAGAAACCUCCUUCGAAUAUAAAUCCAACAAUAUAGGUUUUGUGUCAUAAAACUGGCUUCUUGUUAGUUAAAACUACGAUCGGAAUUGGACACAAAAUACAAAAAGGACUAAUAAAUCUGAACAGAGGUAGUAUUCACUAAUGUCAACCAGAUUUCUAGCUGGCCUUUACUGGUUUUCUGAAGGAGAAGAAGGACGUAGUAUCACUUUUGAUGUAUUGGUGAUUCUCUCGCAGAUUUGUAGCUGGCCUUUACUGUUUAGAUAACCAUUGCUUUUGUCUUUUGAUUAGGUGCAUUGAUGUAUUUUUACAUCUCAACAGUACCACACUGGCAACCAGUUUGGCCUUCCGCGUCUAGAUGCAUAGACUGAGAGUGCAAUAAACUUCUCCUUUCAACAAUCAACAAGAAGGAAAAAUGUGUGGUCCGUACCACGUUAAUAAAUUGUCUUAUUUUUUGAGUAUCUGAUAAAGGCAUCUUCAAUGGUUGUUGGUAGAUUUUACAUUGACAGAUGGCUUCCAGUGGAAGGUACGCGUGGGUUUGAAUGUAGGAGCCCUCUGCUGUAAUUUUACUUUGACGGAUGACUACGAACUGGAUGAGCGUCGGGGCCUAAACCCGAGGCAGGCAGGAGAUACGAGAGACCGCGACAGGCCACGGGCGGUGGUCGCCUGAUCAGCGCCAGCCCAGGUAGUUUUCCGGGCCAACCUGCCAGCCACACAAUGGACGGGGAAGUGCUUGUACGGUCUCGGUGUUUGUUUGUUAAGGCCGAGGCCAUUUGGUUGGUCACCACGUGCAACACAUCCACGCUAGUAUCUGCUCACCUCAACAAACAAAAAAAAUCCACUAUCGGCAGCAGCAAGUCCUGUCGGCGAGAAAGACAGUGAUUCCGGGACUGUGCACCACCUAAGAGCAUGGUUAAUAGUAUAGCCAACUGUGGCUAUAAGCAGUUUAUAACCCAUCUCAUCUUAUAGCUAGCUUGUACAAUAC
This 8249-nucleotide long non-coding RNA is filed under the name Hordeum vulgare. Its description in RNAcentral is "long non-coding RNA (HVUL_LNC005064)". The record is from RNAcentral. Lineage: Eukaryota; Viridiplantae; Streptophyta; Magnoliopsida; Poales; Poaceae.